This 228-nucleotide ribosomal RNA is filed under the name uncultured bacterium. RNAcentral describes it as "partial 16S ribosomal RNA". It matches the Rfam family "Bacterial small subunit ribosomal RNA", at positions 15 to 244 of the family's 1533-position model. The record is from RNAcentral.
GAUCCUGGCUCAGGAUGAACGCUGACAGAAUGCUUAACACAUGCAAGUCGAUGGGGAAGUGGUGCUUGCACCAUGGUAACCAUGGCGGACGGGUGAGUAACGCGUAAGGAACUUGCCUGCGGGACCGGGAUAACAGCAGGAAACUGCUGACAAGACCGGAUAAGGUCAUUAAGCCGCAUAGCUUAGUGAUGAAAGGAGACGCCUGCGGAGAGCCUUGCGUCCUAUUAG